CUAUCAUGCAAGUCGAGGGGCAGCACGGGUAGCAAUAUCUGGUGGCGACCGGCGCACGGGUGCGUAACGCGUAUGCAAUCUACCUAUUACUGGGGAAUAGCCUUCCGAAAGGAAGAUUAAUGUCCCAUAACACUACGAAGAGGCAUCUCUUUGUAAUUAAAGCUCCGGCGGUAAUAGAUGAGCAUGCGUGACAUUAGCUAGUUGGUGAGGUAACGGCUCACCAAGGCUACGAUGUCUAGGGGCUCUGAGAGGAUUGUCCCCCACACUGGUACUGAGACACGGACCAGACUCCUACGGGAGGCAGCAGUAAGGAAUAUUGGACAAUGGUGGCAACACUGAUCCAGCCAUGCCGCGUGAAGGAUGAAGGCCCUAUGGGUUGUAAACUUCUUUUGUACGGGAAGAAACCUCCGAACGUGUUCGGAGCUGACGGUACCGUAAGAAUAAGGAUCGGCUAACUCCGUGCCAGCAGCCGCGGUAAUACGGAGGAUCCAAGCGUUAUCCGGAUUUAUUGGGUUUAAAGGGUGCGUAGGCGGCUUUGUAAGUCAGUGGUGAAAUCCUAUCGCUUAACGGUAGAACUGCCAUUGAUACUGCAGAGCUUGAAUAUGUUUGAAGUGGGCGGAAUGUGUAGUGUAGCGGUGAAAUGCUUAGAUAUUACACAGAACACCGAUUGCGAAGGCAGCUCACUAAACCAUUAUUGACGCUGAGGCACGAAAGUGUGGGGAUCAAACAGGAUUAGAUACCCUGGUAGUCCACACCGUAAACGUUGAUAACUCGAUGUGUGCAAUACACCGUACGCGUCUAAGCGAAAGCGUUA
This 814-nucleotide ribosomal RNA is filed under the name uncultured bacterium. Its description in RNAcentral is "bacterial SSU rRNA". It matches the Rfam family "Bacterial small subunit ribosomal RNA", at positions 50 to 862 of the family's 1533-position model. The record is from RNAcentral.